CAUUCUUGUUUCAAGUGUCACUGUAACGUACAUUGUUUAAGUCCUCCCACGAUCUUGCCCUAACCCUAACUAAGUAGUUUAACCCUGCACAUUGAAAAAUAUCAAUAUCACCAAAUCGGUCCCGAACCAGUGCGUCAAAAAGUGAUGUCUAUGGUCAACUCAAGACCAACCAACCAAAGGGGUACCCGGAACAUCAAAUAUUGCCACUGGUGGAAGGUUGGGGAGGUAGAUGUGUCCCCACCUACGAUCAUUCCCUAACUAUUUGGUUUUACUCUGCACAGUAAAAAAUUACGCCAAUGGGCUGCGUCUGACUGAAACGCUAAAGGAGAGUUUUUGCGUCAGUAACUAACGCCAAAGGCACCUGAUCAUGUGUGUUUUUUUGACGCGCUUGGAGUGAGAAUGUGUUGAAAUGAAAAAAAGGGAAAGACACAAUAUGUUCAUAUUCAGGAUAUGUCAUUUAUGUAGCAGAUAGCUCCUGUAUACACAAUUGUAUCAUUCCUCCACAUUCAGCAUCUGAGCUUCUGUCACCUUUGACUUACCUCAGCAGUUGAGGGCACACCCACUUUAGUUUGUGGUUGUAUCCUGGACUGUUGGAUUUACCGCUUCUGGCUUCUACAUGUGUGAGAGACAACUGUGUCUGAUAUACAUUGUGUUGAGAUGAGCGCUGUAAGAAAGUGAUGGGAUUAAAAUGGCUGUAUUACAGCUUUAGACUUCUGCUCACCACAUUGUUUAUUUUUAUUUUUUAUUUGACAUUCAUUUAACCAGGGAGUCCCUUAAGAUUAAAAUCUCUUUUUUGAGGGAGACCUGGACAAGAUUAGCCUAGAAAUCUAGACGCACCCUAGUCUACAUCUUGAUGUGGGUCUGGCUUGUCAGGCUAGGCCAAGAUAGCACACUGAUACAAGGUUACACAAUUAUUAAACAGAGCAUAUCAAAAACAUACAAGGCAACAGACAACAGACAAUUCACUAGCAAGGACCACACCAUCAACCAGAUACAUUUUGAACAAUUUAAUAAUGACAGAUGAUGGGAAUGCGAGGCAUGGAAUCGCUGGAAUGCACUUAGGACCUAAAGAAGAGGAGAAAGGAGAGGAACAGAAACAGGGUGGGAGGGAGUGGUGCAGAAUGCAGGAGCGAAUGAGAUGAGAGGGUUAGGUGGGUAUUUAUAGGAAUACCGGAAUACCUUGUUUGAGGUGUAGCCCUGCUCCUGAAACUCUGCUAGGUAGCAUCAAUUAAAAUAGAUGCAUACACAUAUAUUAUAUAGAUAUAUGACUAGUUAAAUAAAAGACUGACACAUAUCUGUUUACAUUGUCAGACUGACCUGCUUGGGGAGACUUGACUGACACCCCCAUUAAAGGAAAAGCUGUUAAUAUUCAUUUGAUUGGAGUGCAUAUUACGAAAUAAUUUUGAAAUGGAUCCAAUGCCCAGAACCCAACUAACACAGAUGGAAGUUGGAGCUUUCUGGGCCCCUGGGGCUCUAAUGCAUCGGACGCUUAAUGGGCUCGCCACUAACAGUUAUCAGUUUCUCUUCAAUGACCACUGACAAGCUAAGAAAAAUAGGCUACACCCUCCUACAACCGCGAUGGCUGCACCUGAUUGGACGAACACUUCACGCGUGGGGCUGUCUACUUCCGAAUUUCUAAAUUCUAAAUUUCUAAACAGACCAACAUGGUGGCCAUUUUAUUUAAGAAAUAACGAAUAAGGAUUGAUAACGGUCAGUUUAAAAGAUUUUUGUGAGUUUUUGAGAGGCGGCGAGUCGAGCUAGAUGCCCCUGACAACUUCAUGCAAACGAGGAGUGGGCGACUCAAUGCCCCGACUCUGGAAAGUGCCUGCGAUGCUACCAGAAUGCGUUGUGCUGCUGCUCACAAAGACAUCAUCUGUUCAGAUCCAAAUAAUAUAUCUAUUUGCUUUCUGCCUCCUGUUUGCUCUGUUCUUUCAGCAAUAAACGAUAAUAAAAGAUUUCAAUAGUCU
Long non-coding RNA from Sander lucioperca (pikeperch), 1967 nucleotides. RefSeq lists it as uncharacterized. The record is from RefSeq and is a predicted model, not a curated record. The transcript is spliced from 2 exons. Lineage: Eukaryota; Metazoa; Chordata; Actinopteri; Perciformes; Percidae.